This 536-nucleotide ribosomal RNA is filed under the name Argiolestes tuberculiferus. RNAcentral's name for it is "partial 16S ribosomal RNA". It matches the Rfam family "Bacterial large subunit ribosomal RNA", at positions 1831 to 2619 of the family's 2925-position model. Lineage: Eukaryota; Metazoa; Arthropoda; Insecta; Odonata; Argiolestidae. The record is from RNAcentral.
GUCUUCUUGGUUUUAUAAGAGGUUUGACCUGCCCGGUGAGAAUUAUUUAACGGCCGCGGUACAUUGACCGUGCAAAGGUAGCAUAAUCAUUAGUCUUUUAAUAGGGGGCUGGAAUGAAGGGUUUGACGAAUUAAUAACUGUCUCAUAUAAAAUUAAAUUAAAAUUUAAUUUUUAAGUUAAAAAGCUUAAAUUUUGUUGGAAGACGAGAAGACCCUAUAGAGCUUUAUGGUUAUUAUUUUUAAUUUUUUUUGGUUUAUUAUUAUUUAAUUAUUAAUUUGACCAUUUUGUUGGGGCGACAAAAAAUAUAUAUUUAACUUUUUUAUUUAGUAUACAUUGAUAUAUGAAUAAUUGGAUCCAUUUUUAUUGAUUGUUAGAAUAAGUUACCUUAGGGAUAACAGCGUAAUCUUCUUUUGAAGUUCAAAUUUACAGGAGGGCUUGCGACCUCGAUGUUGGAUUAAGAUAAUAAUUGGGUGCAGUAGCUUGAUUUAUAGGUCUGUUCGACCUUUAAAUUCUUACAUGAUCUGAGUUCAGACCGG